This 382-nucleotide ribosomal RNA is filed under the name Diestrammena sp. VIE3. Its description in RNAcentral is "partial small subunit ribosomal RNA". The record is from RNAcentral. Lineage: Eukaryota; Metazoa; Arthropoda; Insecta; Orthoptera; Rhaphidophoridae.
UAGAUACCCUAUUAUUUAAAAUGUAAAAUUGUAUUGGCUUGAGUAGUAUUAGUUAUGAUCUUGAAACUCAAAGAAUUUGGCGGUAUUUUAGUCUUUUCAGAGGAAUCUGUCCCGUAAAUGAUAAUACACGAUUAACUUUACCAUUUUUUGUAAUUUCAAUAUGUAUACCGCCGUCAUCAGUUUAUCUUAAGAGAGUUAUUAAUUUUCUUUAAUUUUAAUUUGGAUUUAUGUCAGGUCAAGGUGCAGUUUAUAUUAUGGUGGUGAUGGAUUACAAUAAUUUUAUUUAUAUGGAUUAUCAUAUGAAAAUUGAUAUGAAGGUGGAUUUGUAGGUAAUUUUAUUUAUUUUAUUAUUUUGAUUUUAGCUCUAAAAUAUGUACACAUC